GGACGGGUGAGUAACACGUAGGCAACCUGCCCGUAAUACCGGGAAAACCUGGGGAAACCGAGGCUAAGCCCGGAUAGGCUCCUUUACCGCAUGGGAGAGGAGGGAAAGGGUGCGACCCGAUUACGGAGGGGCCUGCGGCGCAUUAGCUAGUUGGUGAGGUAACGGCCCACCAAGGCGAUGAUGCGUAGCCGACCUGAGAGGGUGACCGGCCACACUGGGACUGAGAGACGGCCCAGACUCCUACGGGAGGCAGCAGUAGGGAAUCUUCGGCAAUGGGCGAAAGCCUGACCGAGCAACGCCGCGUGAGUGAGGAAGGCCUUCGGGUUGUAAAACUCUGUUGUUUGGGAAGAAGGGAAAGGGUAGGCCCCUUAGGUGACGGUACCAAACGAGAAAGCCCCGGCUAACUACGUGCCAGCAGCCGCGGUAAUACGUAGGGGGCGAGCGUUGUCCGGAAUGAUUGGGCGUAAAGCGCGCGCAGGCGGUCCUUUAAGUCUGAUGUGAAAGCCCGCGGCUUAACCGCGGAAGGUCAUUGGAAACUGGGGGACUUGAGGCUAGGAGAGGGAAGUGGAAUUCCUGGUGUAGCGGUGAAAUGCGUAGAGAUCAGGAGGAAUACCGAUGGCGAAGGCAGCUUUCUGGCCUAGAACUGACGCUGAGGCGCGAAAGCGUGGGGAGCAAACAGGAUUAGAUACCCUGGUAGUCCACGCCGUAAACGAUGAGUGCUAGGUGUGAGGGGUUUCAAGGCCCUUCGUGCCGCAGUACACACAAUAAGCACUCCGCCUGGGGAGUACGGUCGCAAGACUGAAACUCAAAGGAAUUGACGGGGGCCCGCACAAGCGGUGGAGCAUGUGGUUUAAUUCGAAGCAACGCGAAGAACCUUACCAGGGCUGACAUCCCUCUGACGGGAGUAGAGAUACUUCGUCCCUUCGGGGCAGAGGAGACAGGUGGUGCAUGGUUGUCGUCAGCUCGUGUCGUGAGAUGUUGGGUUAAGUCCCGCAACGAGCG
RNAcentral lists this ribosomal RNA (1002 nucleotides) under uncultured Thermicanus sp. RNAcentral's name for it is "bacterial SSU rRNA". It matches the Rfam family "Bacterial small subunit ribosomal RNA", at positions 100 to 1098 of the family's 1533-position model. The record is from RNAcentral. Lineage: Bacteria; Bacillati; Bacillota; Bacilli; Thermicanales; Thermicanaceae.